Molecule: long non-coding RNA, 1204 nt
Organism: Octodon degus (degu)
Lineage: Eukaryota; Metazoa; Chordata; Mammalia; Rodentia; Octodontidae
Exons: 3
Source: RefSeq, a predicted model, not a curated record
CACUAUCACUAUGGUUCCUUGAGCCUUCAGAGGUCUGGGUGUGUUCCUGGAGAAGAGGCCAUUAGGACUGGGAUCCCUGGGGGCUACGGUGGAUCCUAGGGGCUCACUGUGCCCCUCACCACCCUGGGAGGCUGCUUACUGUCAACAGACCCCAAGUAAAGGGAUCAGCAGAGUCUGAAGGCAAGAAGAACCCCAACCUCAGAGCACACUUUUGUCUCCACCUGAUCCUGCUGAUCCUGCACCUUGGUCACCCAACCCAGACAACAUCCCCAUGCUCCAGCCCACAUCCACAAUUCAAGCCUUUCAGAUCAUCCCCAUUUCCAGGCCUUUCUCAGGCUCUGGAGGUGCUCUCCCAGAACCCCUUAUGAAGUCUCAGUACAGUACCCCCACUCUAACAUGCACAACCCCACACUUCACAUCCCAAGACUGAGUUCCCAAGAAUGAAAUGAAGAUGCAGGCCCACAAAGAAUCCCAAGAGACAAGAGAAGUGGAAGAAGAAGAGUGACAGAGAUUGGGACAAAGAGAUGGAGAGACAAGAUGCAAGAGAGACCCAGAAAGAUCUGGAAGCACAGGCAUGGGGCACAAAGUUCCACAGCCGUGUUCUGGAGCCUUGGAUGCAGACCCCUGGCCAGGGCCACCCUGUCAUGCCAAAGAGAAGCCCCAGGGACAAGCUGCGGCCAGACCACAUCCACACUGGCUGGCAGUAUCGAGCGUGACCCAGUGCCAGGCUGCUGGAGGCCACACAUGCAGCAUCUUGCAGAGUCCUCGAAGAGACCUGGGCCCAGGGCCCCUUGGCUGCAUGCCAUCAGCAGCUCAAAAGGGUGACCCUUGGCCAAGGUCACACAGCUGACUACCAUCGCAGGAUCGUAACCAAGUCUGUUGGAUUCCAGAGCCCAAGCCUUCCCCACUGCAUGUCGAGAGUGCCACCUCCCCAACCAUGCAUCUUUGCACCCCAUUCCUCUUGAUUUCAGCCCAUGAUGCUUUGGGGGAAGCUAAAAAUUGUUUGUUUGGGUUUUUUUGGUAACAAAAACAAACAAACAAACAAAAAAUCAACAAAUUGCCAGCUGAGGAUUGGGAAGGGAAUGGAUGGAGGAAGAAAAGGAUAGAAACCUAAGAAUAAGGGAUGAGGCACAGACUGAGGAUGGGGGUGGGGUUUUGGAGGGAAAGGGAUAUUAGCCAAGAGCCAUGCAGAAGGUCCCAGAUG